GCAGAAGAUCACCUAAAAAUUUAUCUAAAAGGGAUGUAUUAAUCACCUGGGUUGCCUGGCUUAAAAAGCACCAGCACUGCCUUUUUGUAGGGUUGUAGCAUUGUUCUUUUUAGGUUUUACAGUACAUUUUGAAUGUCUUAACUUGGCUGUCAAUCUGGUACUCUGAAUUUGUCCUUCAGUGUGGUGAUCCGAAGCACGUGUCUGACGAUCCUUUCAUGGGUAGCUUCCACUAAGUUAGAUCUCCGUACCUGUUUUGACGUUGGAUUUUGAAAAUCUCUAGCUAAGUGUUUAAUAAUGAACUUUGAGUAUACGGGGUUUCAAAUUGGAAAGCAGGGUAAUAAAUGU
RNAcentral lists this long non-coding RNA (345 nucleotides) under Hordeum vulgare. Its description in RNAcentral is "long non-coding RNA (HVUL_LNC002853)". Lineage: Eukaryota; Viridiplantae; Streptophyta; Magnoliopsida; Poales; Poaceae. The record is from RNAcentral.